AAAACUCGUACCCAGUCAACCUCAGAGUCACCAACAAUACGUGUCGGCCCGGCCCGGGUGGCCGCCUCCCCUCCUCCCCAGCGACGGUGGUCGCCCGCAGCCACCAGCCGGGAGUCCGCAGAGGGCUCGGGGCUGCCUGCCGCCCCUCCCGGACGGCGCCGUCCGCCCGGGAGGAUCAAAGUCCGCAGAGCAGGGCGCGGCGGAUGCUCCCACUGAGCAGCCCCGAACGGGCAGCCCCCCGCGCCUGCACCCCGGGUGGGCACCCCCGGAUACCUUGCGGCGGCGGGCGGGCUCCGUCAUCUCCGUGCUUCCCGACCGGAGAGAGACUAGAAAUUUCUCUCCCAGGUUGGUCCUUCCCACCAGCGCAGCGACUUUGGAGCGUGCUUCUCUUCUGACAAACGCAAGGGCCCAACGCAUUUGUCACUUUGCCUUCUCACUUUGCCAACAAAUGAUGCUUCGGUGGAGGCUGCCUGCCCGAGAGGGGCCUAAGGAUGGCGCCUACCUCCACCUUGUCCCCACCCCGCGACGGAAUGGCUGGUGCUGUGUCAUCCACGUCUCCCUUCAAGGCGUCAGGGAAGCCACAUGCAAUAUCUCUUUCUUUCAGAGGGCUCCUGUUUCAACUCUGAAAAAGCACGGGUCCUUCUGAGAGCCUCAAUCCAUCCCCGGGGCUCCUGGAGCCACCACACUGCCUUGGCCCGAGUUAUCACAGAACCCAGAGAAAC
This 722-nucleotide long non-coding RNA is filed under the name Cricetulus griseus (Chinese hamster). RNAcentral describes it as "lncRNA (ENSCGRG00015037326.1)". The record is from RNAcentral. Lineage: Eukaryota; Metazoa; Chordata; Mammalia; Rodentia; Cricetidae.